CCUACGGGAGGCAGCAGUGGGGGAUAUUGCACAAUGGAGGAAACCCUGAUGCAGCGACGCCGCGUGAGUGAAGAAGGAUUUCUGUAUGUAAAGCUCUAUCAGCAGGAAAGAAAAUGACAGUACCUGACCAAGAAGCCCCGGCUAACUACGUGCCAGCAGCCGCGGUAAUACGUAGGGGGCAAGCGUUAUCCGGAUUUAUUGGGUGUAAAGGGAGCGUAGACGGUUAUGUAAGUCUGGAGUGAAAGCCCGGGGCUCAACCCCGGGACUGCUUUGGAAACUGUGUAACUGGAGUACAGGUGGGGCAGGCGGAAUGCCUGGUGUAGCGGUGAAAUGCGUAGAGAUCAGGAGGAACACCGGCGGCGAAGGCGGCCUGCUGAACUACAACUGACGUUGAGGCUCGAAAGCGUGGGGAGCAAACAGGAUUAGAUACCCCAGUAGUC
Molecule: ribosomal RNA, 440 nt
Filed under: uncultured bacterium
Lineage: Bacteria
Description: partial 16S ribosomal RNA
Rfam family: Bacterial small subunit ribosomal RNA
Source: RNAcentral